This 2156-nucleotide long non-coding RNA is filed under the name Homo sapiens (human). RNAcentral describes it as "HSALNT0199146". The record is from RNAcentral. Lineage: Eukaryota; Metazoa; Chordata; Mammalia; Primates; Hominidae.
ACCCCUGGGCUCAAGCGACCCUCCUGCCUUAGCCUCCCAAAGUGUUGGGAUUACAGGCGUGAGCCACCGUGCCCGGCCUAAUUUUGUAAUAGCUUUCAAACAGGAGCACACUGGGAUAACAAUUAGAAAAAAUAAAUAAAUUUACAUGUCUCCAUGGGAAUGCUAUCAAACAACUGUUUUUAAUAUGAAUUGAGAAAAAUGAGUAGAUCCUGUUUUUAUAUUGAAAAUAUCAUCUCAUUUCAGACUAUUGAACUUUGGUUGUGAUCUUUUAUAAAUACGGGUUUCCUUUUGGAAACAUCAAAAUAAAGAUAGAAACGGGUUUCCCUUGGUGAUUCAUUUUUCAGGUGUAUUCCUCAGAUGCUCAUUUGUUCUUCCGUUUUAUUCUUUCUUUCUAUUCUAGUACAUUUCCUCUUUCUGCGGUUGGGAGAGUCACCUGCCCUGGUGGUUUUGAAAUGCUCCUGCAGUUCUUGGAGCAGACAGUGGGUGGUGAUAAGAAGCCAUGCCUCCAAGCCAGCCAUUCUUUCUGGAAGUUCCAGACAUGAGGUCUUAACACGUUGCCUAGGCUGGAGUGCAGUGGCAGUUCACACUCCAGCCUCAAAUUCCUGGGCUUAAGCAAUCCUCCUGCCUCAGCCUCCUGAGUAACUAGGACUACAGGUGCACGCUACUAUGCCUGGCUUCCAAUUUCUUCUACUUUUAGCAUCUGACAUUAGUGUUGUACAUUUGUCACAAUUGGUGAGCCAAAAUUGAUACAACAUCAUUAACUAAAGUUCAGCCUUCCCAUUAGGGUUCACCCUGAUUGUAUUUUCUAUGAGUUUUGGCGAAUGUAGUAAUCACUUUUUAUCUGAGGGCUACCAGAAGGUAUCUUUCAGUGCUCAUUUUUGUUUAUGUGUUAGGAGAGUAGAUCCACUUUAAUUGGGAGUGAAUUAAAAAAGAACAGAAUUGGUCCUAAUAGGUAACCAUGAUGUCAAUUUUAGUGAAGGAAAGUAACCUUAUAGCAUACUUCAUAAAUGAAGAUUUCUCUAUGGUUCAGAAAAAGAAAUGUGUUUGGUUUGUGUUAUCACAAUUCACACGGCGGUCUACAACUGCCCAAGGCAAAAGCCAUCGAUACCAUAUUCAUGCUCUGAAUGACGAUUUUGCUUCAGCAAAACAUCAUCUCUCCCAUUAAAAGAAGGUUGUUUAUUUAAAUAUUGUUGACAUUGUAGCUUUGCUUGUCUUUAAUGUAUACAUUUAUACAUUCAGUUUACAAACUUAAUUUGUAAAUGUGUAUAACUGUAAGCAUAAGAACUUUAUACCUAGUUGUAUGUUUGUCCAUAACUAAGAACUGUUAUAGAAAAACAAUUCGUAAACCCUGGAAAUUUGCGAGAAUUUUUUCUAUUAGGGAGUCUGUACAUGACUCAGGUUUAAGAAACAGUGUCCUAAGCGUUAGACAGUUUUCCCCCUAUUUGGGGUACAAUACUGCCUCCCUGUAAUUUGCACACACUUAUCCUGGCUCUGCCCUCUGAAAUCUAAUCCUUCUUCUAUACAAAGCCCUCUAAAGAGUAUUUGAAUGUAACAAUUGCUCAGUUUGGAGCUUUCUCUUUUACAUUUUAAAGGGAUGAAACAGAUUAAUAUAGGUUGAAUUAUGUAUAAUUUUCUGGAGACUGGUUAUAACCCUUCCUUCCUCCUUUUCCACUAAUUGUUACACACCAGGGUAUUGAGAGCUGAGGGUAAGGUUUGCUUCUCUAACUUACCAACCCACCCCAAAACGGAAACAAGGUCAGCCUGGCCUGAUUUGCACUUAGUGAAUUCACGUUGACUCUUCAGUCUUCUUGGAUUUCUUUUCUGAACGUCCACAGUCAUGUUCAGGAGAGGUUGAGCUGAAGAGUUUAUAGUUUCUGUAAUACAGCCCUCUCCCAUUUGAAACCUGGGAGAAUGUUUUCCUAUAAGCAGUGUUCUGGAAACUGUCAUCCUGUAUGAUUUCUCAAAGAGAACUGAGGGUGCGUUCUCGAGUAAAUCCUCAGGGAUUUUGUUCCAAGUACUAUAGCUGGGGUUACUAGGGCCUCAGGUGAAACUGUAUAUAUGAAAUAUGUAUUUAUAUGUAAAUGUAUAUAUGUAAAUAUAUGUAUAGAUUUAUAUAAAUGUAUAUAUAAAUAUAUGUAUAUAUGCAAAUAUAUGUA